CUGGAAAACCCUCAGGGGCUGACUCACAGUGUUUUGGUAAAGAAUGGUUUCCUAUGGUAUAGUUUUGUAUGAUAUGAUAUCAUAUGUUACGGCUUUACAUGGUAGUGUUUGGUACUUCACAUUAUGGUUAACUGCAGGAUGGUUAUAGUGUAAAAGAGUCACCGUAUAGCAGUCUAACACAGGAGGCUUAUUUACCUGGUUAUCUGAGUAACUUUCUCCUGUUACAGCACCCUUCUGUCUGGGUACCAAACAAACUUAUCUGACCCAAAAGGACGGAACUGGACACGCUGCUUUCCACUGAUGAGAGAGAGAGGAGAUAUAAUAGAUUGUACUGGAUUAUUACCCUCCUAACCUCCCCACUUUUCUCCACCAAAACUUCACCAUAGGCUCGAAUAAAGAGCCAUGCCAAGUUCUGUCUUUCACAAUAAAAGC
This is a non-coding RNA of Xyrichtys novacula (pearly razorfish), 432 nucleotides long. Lineage: Eukaryota; Metazoa; Chordata; Actinopteri; Labriformes; Labridae. The record is from the annotation of a GenBank genome assembly.